GAUGAACGCUGGCGGUGUGCCUAAUACAUGCAAGUCGAGCGAACGGACGAGAAGCUUGCUUCUCUGAUGUUAGCGGCGGACGGGUGAGUAACACGUGGAUAACCUACCUAUAAGACUGGGAUAACUUCGGGAAACCGUAGCUAAUACCGGAUAAUAUUUUGAACCGCAUGGUUCAAAAGUGAAAGACGGUCUUGCUGUCACUUAUAGAUGGAUCCGCGCUGCAUUAGCUAGUUGGUAAGGUAACGGCUUACCAAGGCAACGAUGCAUAGCCGACCUGAGAGGGUGAUCGGCCACACUGGAACUGAGACACGGUCCAGACUCCUACGGGAGGCAGCAGUAGGGAAUCUUCCGCAAUGGGCGAAAGCCUGACGGAGCAACGCCGCGUGAGUGAUGAAGGUCUUCGGAUCGUAAAACUCUGUUAUUAGGGAAGAACAUAUGUGUAAGUAACUGUGCACAUCUUGACGGUACCUAAUCAGAAAGCCACGGCUAACUACGU
RNAcentral lists this ribosomal RNA (496 nucleotides) under uncultured bacterium. RNAcentral's name for it is "partial 16S ribosomal RNA". It matches the Rfam family "Bacterial small subunit ribosomal RNA", at positions 28 to 506 of the family's 1533-position model. The record is from RNAcentral.